This 150-nucleotide ribosomal RNA is filed under the name Nutomonas limna. Its description in RNAcentral is "Ancyromonas limna partial 5.8S ribosomal RNA". It matches the Rfam family "5.8S ribosomal RNA". From Rfam's summary of the family: 5.8S ribosomal RNA (5.8S rRNA) is a component of the large subunit of the eukaryotic ribosome. It is transcribed by RNA polymerase I as part of the 45S precursor that also contains 18S and 28S rRNA. Functionally, it is thought that 5.8S rRNA may be involved in ribosome translocation. The record is from RNAcentral. Lineage: Eukaryota; Ancyromonadida; Planomonadidae.
CAAUAUUUCUCAAUGGACGUCUUGGCUUGACAACGAUGAAGACCGUGGCAAAAAACGAUAUUUAAUGUGAAUUGCAAGAACCCGAGAAUCAUCAAGAUGUUGAACGCAAAUUGCACUUGAUUUCUAUCAAGUACGCCUGAAUCAGGGACU